RNAcentral lists this ribosomal RNA (590 nucleotides) under uncultured bacterium. RNAcentral describes it as "bacterial SSU rRNA". It matches the Rfam family "Bacterial small subunit ribosomal RNA", at positions 337 to 917 of the family's 1533-position model. The record is from RNAcentral.
UCCUACGGGAGGCAGCAGUAGGGAAUCUUCCGCAAUGGACGAAAGUCUGACGGAGCAACGCCGCGUGAGUGAUGAAGGCUUUCGGGUCGUAAAACUCUGUUGUUAGGGAAGAACAAGUGCUAGUUGAAUAAGCUGGCACCUUGACGGUACCUAACCAGAAAGCCACGGCUAACUACGUGCCAGCAGCCGCGGUAAUACGUAGGUGGCAAGCGUUAUCCGGAAUUAUUGGGCGUAAAGCGCGCGCAGGUGGUUUCUUAAGUCUGAUGUGAAAGCCCACGGCUCAACCGUGGAGGGUCAUUGGAAACUGGGAGACUUGAGUGCAGAAGAGGAAAGUGGAAUUCCAUGUGUAGCGGUGAAAUGCGUAGAGAUAUGGAGGAACACCAGUGGCGAAGGCGACUUUCUGGUCUGUAACUGACACUGAGGCGCGAAAGCGUGGGGAGCAAACAGGAUUAGAUACCCUGGUAGUCCACGCCGUAAACGAUGAGUGCCAAGUGUUAGAGGGUUUCCGCCCUUUAGUGCUGAAGUUAACGCAUUAAGCACUCCGCCUGGGGAGUACGGCCGCAAGGCUGAAACUCAAAGGAAUUGACGGA